Molecule: long non-coding RNA, 216 nt
Filed under: Musa acuminata (dwarf banana)
Lineage: Eukaryota; Viridiplantae; Streptophyta; Magnoliopsida; Zingiberales; Musaceae
Description: long non-coding RNA (MACU_LNC001260)
Source: RNAcentral
UGCAGCCCGAUUAGCUUACCACAUCGAAUGUUGUGACAAAUUUGAAGUCAAGGUCGCCGAUGGACGGAUUUUAACCUGUGACAGCAAGUGCUCAAAGAUAAAACUAAUUUUGCAAGGUCAAGAAUUAUUUGUGGAUUUCUUUUUAUUACCCUUGGAAGACUAUGAAGUGGUGCUCGAAAUUGAAUGGCUAUCAACCCUAGGUGAUGUCUCCUGGAA